This 568-nucleotide long non-coding RNA is filed under the name Ananas comosus (pineapple). RNAcentral's name for it is "long non-coding RNA (ACOM_LNC002774)". The record is from RNAcentral. Lineage: Eukaryota; Viridiplantae; Streptophyta; Magnoliopsida; Poales; Bromeliaceae.
UAUUACUAAUAGGUAAAAAUAUAUAUAAUUUAUCUAAAUUAUGGAUCAUUCUGAUUUGGCUAUUCAAUCUUUUAAUUUGUUUGAUAUGAGUUAGUAAAAAGUACUUCGACUUUGAAAUUUAAUCAAAUUACUUACUUUAAUGAAUUUAUAAUUGCGAAAAUCGUAUAAGAUAUACCAACUGAACCUGUAAAGAUAUAUAUAUGACGCACUCAAAUUUUGAAGUUAAGAUAUCGUUGGCCGGCUCAAAUCAAACAAAUUAAAACAAAUCAAAAUUUUGAAAGAUUGCGUAGCUAAAUCAAAAUGACUCAUAGUUCAUAUAAGUUCUAUACGUUUUUACCUAUUAUUACCUUCACUCAGGGACAAAAUUUCUCGAUUAAAUUAUCAGAUUGAAAAUAAAAAAGAAAAUUAUGAAUCCACGAAUGUAAGUAUGUAGUUCGAGAUAUUGUAAUUUACUAUGUGAGCAAUAAAUUUGUUUUAAUGAAUAUUGUGAUUGUAAUAAUGUGAUGGGCCUUUUUUUUCGGUACAAUUUAUGUGAGAGUCUCGUACUAACGACGUUCAAAGAAUUUGA